UGUUGCUCCAUCAUUCCAACUUUAGCCAUUAGGAGCUCUUUCUCCUUGGCUCUGAUGACCCUUUGGCAUAUUCCAAUCAUUGUGGAGAUCUUAGGUCAUUGUGGAGCUGCUUAGGUCCUCACUAAGCACUAAAUUGCUGAGGCUGGCCUUGAACUUGCAAUCCUCCUGCCUCAGCCCCCCCACCACCUGGAGCCUCUGGGAUUACAAGUAUGCACCACCACACCCAGCCAGAUGUUUGUUUUCUCCAAAUCAUGUUAAAAGUUGUCACCCUACCAUUUACCUUUAAGCAAUUCUAACAAAUCUUUGAAUUUUCCAUCUGAGCUAUAUCCCCAGCCCCCACAAAUCUUUGAAUCUUUAUUUUAGCUCUUCUGAGUCCAAAUUCCAUUGACAAUGAUCUGACUUUCUGAUACAGGAUUCACAUUCCAAUGGAAGUCUCAAACAUUCCCAGGUUUUCUUUGUUUCUUUACCCCACUCUAACCUCCUUUCUUCCAAAAUUUUUGGUGAUUCUUGGAUUACCCUGUAAUCUCCCCAAAUAAUUCUGGCAGCUCUCUGUACUUACCCUGCUGUUCCAAUCCACUUCAACUGUCUUAUAUUAGAAUUGCUUAUAGUGCUUGUGAGUUUCUAAGGGGAUAGGGAUCAGAGCUUAGUCAUCUUUUUGUCCUCUGCAAUGCCAGAAUAUGUCUAGCCUCCAAUGUCUCCCAAGGUUAAGGCACACACUCUACUUUGUUCAUAAUACCUGAAUAUCACAUCCAACUAUUUAAGAAUUAAAUUCACUUGAUAUCUUUCUUCUAUCCAAGAACUUGGCAAGUCAAAGAACUGGAGGCUUCUAGAGCUUUCUUGCAUCCAGUGUGGGGGAAAUCUAAUCCUGUACUAUCUCCCUGCCACAAGUAGGAGUGGGCUACUGUACAUAUUGGCAUCAUCUAUAGGAUCAAGCAUGCUCUGCCUGGGGCUCUAGAAAUCUGGAUAUCUUCUCUGAUGACCUCAGGGGAGGUUUUAUCUCCAGGAGCAUUAUUGGGUGUCCAUCAUGUGGAUAUUUCUCUGCCAAAAGGGGGAGCCAGCUCUCUGCCAUUGGAGCCAUAUGUCACAGGUACUGAAGAGCUGGCAUAGAUCUGGAAGGAAAGGGGGACCUUUGAUUUGUCAAAACAUGCAACAGCUGAAGUCUAAAAUACAGACUGAGGGGCUGGGGCUGGGGCUCAGUGGAAGUGCACUUGCCCGGCAUAUGUGAGGCACUGGGUUCGAUUCUCAGCACCACAUAUAAAUAAAUAAAUAAAAAUAAAGGUCUGUCAACAACUAAAAAAAAAAAAACUAAUUAGAAUAAAAUACAGACUACAGAGGUUUUUAGUGUUCAAUGGGUCUCAUGUGAGGAUGCCGAAUUCAUUCCAGUAUUAAGGACCCCGUUAAUUGGGAUUGCCUUUUUCUGGGUGACCUAUUGUGAGGAUUGCCUUAGGCCUGAGCCUAAGCAACUCCAUUUUAAAAACUGCAGUUUGAAACCUGCAGUCUCACCAGGCAUACUCACAGAGCCCUCCAGUAUGGCCUCAAACAAGUUAUUUCCGCUCACCUUGAUAAACAGAGUAAAGCCCCUGGCAGGCUGUCCUCUCCUGAUAAAAGGGAAAGGCGAGAAGAUCAGGGAGGAGACCACCAGACCAGAUGUUUCUGACCCCAGGGUAAAUGAUGUCAUGGAGAAACCCGGUGGUAGCUGAUAAGGAUUGAAAGGGGGUCAAAAACCCCCAAAUUUAGUAUAAAUAAUAGAGCUGAUGAACAGGGAUUCAGCCAGCUGAAACAAGGAUGCAUUCAGUGGUAGAGUGUUGCUUAGUAUGCAUGAGGCACUGGGUUUGAUCCUCAGCACCACAUAAAAAUAAAAAAUAAAGGUAUUGUGUCCACCUAAAACUAAUAUA
RNAcentral lists this long non-coding RNA (1895 nucleotides) under Marmota monax (woodchuck). The record is from RNAcentral. Lineage: Eukaryota; Metazoa; Chordata; Mammalia; Rodentia; Sciuridae.